GACGAACGCUGGCGGCGUGCCUAAUACAUGCAAGUAGGACGCUGAAGGAGGAGCUUGCUUCUCCGGAUGAGUUGCGAACGGGUGAGUAACGCGUAGGUAACCUGCCUGGUAGCGGGGGAUAACUAUUGGAAACGAUAGCUAAUACCGCAUAACAGUAGAUGUUGCAUGACAUUUGCUUAAAAGGUGCAAUUGCAUCACUACCAGAUGGACCUGCGUUGUAUUAGCUAGUUGGUGAGGUAACGGCUCACCAAGGCGACGAUACAUAGCCGACCUGAGAGGGUGAUCGGCCACACUGGGACUGAGACACGGCCCAGACUCCUACGGGAGGCAGCAGUAGGGAAUCUUCGGCAAUGGACGGAAGUCUGACCGAGCAACGCCGCGUGAGUGAAGAAGGUUUUCGGAUCGUAAAGCUCUGUUGUAAGAGAAGAACGAGUGUGAGAGUGGAAAGUUCACACUGUGACGGUAUCUUACCAGAAAGGGACGGCUAACUACGUG
RNAcentral lists this ribosomal RNA (495 nucleotides) under uncultured bacterium. RNAcentral's name for it is "partial 16S ribosomal RNA". It matches the Rfam family "Bacterial small subunit ribosomal RNA", at positions 28 to 507 of the family's 1533-position model. The record is from RNAcentral.